RNAcentral lists this ribosomal RNA (246 nucleotides) under Mantidactylus katae. Its description in RNAcentral is "partial 16S ribosomal RNA". Lineage: Eukaryota; Metazoa; Chordata; Amphibia; Anura; Mantellidae. The record is from RNAcentral.
CUUCAAACCCAAUUACACCCCUAACCCCUAUAACUACUUAACCCUUAGGAUUCUGUAUUAUUGGUUUUAGGUUGGGGCGACCACGGAGUACAACAAAACCUCCACAAUGAACGGAACUACUUCCUCAUCUGAGAGCUACAUCUCUAAGAAUUAAAAUAUUAACAUAAAAUGAUCCAUUUUUGAUCAAUGAACCAAGUUACCCUGGGGAUAACAGCGCAAUCCAUUUCAAGAGCCCCUAUCGACAAA